RNAcentral lists this ribosomal RNA (253 nucleotides) under uncultured bacterium. Its description in RNAcentral is "partial 16S ribosomal RNA". It matches the Rfam family "Bacterial small subunit ribosomal RNA", at positions 524 to 776 of the family's 1533-position model. The record is from RNAcentral.
UACGUAGGGCGCGAGCGUUGUCCGGAAUUAUUGGGCGUAAAGAGCUCGUAGGCGGUUUGUCGCGUCUGCCGUGAAAGUCCGGGGCUCAACUCCGGAUCUGCGGUGGGUACGGGCAGACUAGAGUGAUGUAGGGGAGACUGGAAUUCCUGGUGUAGCGGCGAAAUGCGCAGAUAUCAGGAGGAACACCGAUGGCGAAGGCAGGUCUCUGGGCAUUAACUGACGCUGAGGAGCGAAAGCAUGGGGAGCGAACAGG